GCUACCCGCUGAGUUAA
This 17-nucleotide ribosomal RNA is filed under the name Crotalaria calycina. Its description in RNAcentral is "partial 23S ribosomal RNA". Lineage: Eukaryota; Viridiplantae; Streptophyta; Magnoliopsida; Fabales; Fabaceae. The record is from RNAcentral.